Molecule: transfer RNA, 73 nt
Filed under: Emiliania huxleyi
Lineage: Eukaryota; Haptophyta; Isochrysidales; Noelaerhabdaceae
Also listed under: 4 other names
Description: tRNA-Ile
Rfam family: tRNA
About the family: Transfer RNA (tRNA) molecules are approximately 80 nucleotides in length. Their secondary structure includes four short double-helical elements and three loops (D, anti-codon, and T loops).
Source: RNAcentral
UAGCUAAUAACUUAAUUGGUGGAGUUUCAACUUGAUAAGUUGACUGUUAAAGGUUCAAGUCCUUUUUAGCUAA